This 813-nucleotide ribosomal RNA is filed under the name uncultured Leptotrichia sp. RNAcentral describes it as "bacterial SSU rRNA". It matches the Rfam family "Bacterial small subunit ribosomal RNA", at positions 28 to 858 of the family's 1533-position model. Lineage: Bacteria; Fusobacteriati; Fusobacteriota; Fusobacteriia; Fusobacteriales; Leptotrichiaceae. The record is from RNAcentral.
GAUGAACGCUGACAGAAUGCUUAACACAUGCAAGUCGAUGGGGAAGUGGUGCUUGCACCAUGGUAACCAUGGCGGACGGGUGAGUAACGCGUAAGGAACUUGCCUGCGGGACUGGGAUAACAGCAGGAAACUGCUGAUAAUACCGGAUAAGGUCAUUAAGCUGCAUAGCUUAGUGAUGAAAGGAGACGCCUGCGGAGAGCCUUGCGUCCUAUUAGCUAGUUGGAGGGGUAACGGCCCACCAAGGCGAAGAUAGGUAGCCGGCCUGAGAGGGUGGACGGCCACAAGGGGACUGAGAUACGGCCCUUACUCCUACGGGAGGCAGCAGUGGGGAAUAUUGGACAAUGGGGGCAACCCUGAUCCAGCAAUUCUGUGUGCACGAAGACGGUUUUCGGAUUGUAAAGUGCUUUCAGCAGGGAAGAAGUAAGUGACGGUACCUGCAGAAGAAGCGACGGCUAAAUACGUGCCAGCAGCCGCGGUAAUACGUAUGUCGCGAGCGUUAUCCGGAAUUAUUGGGCAUAAAGGGCAUCUAGGCGGCCUUUCAAGUCAGGGGUGAAAACCUGCGGCUCAACCGCAGGCCUGCCUUUGAAACUGAUAGGUUGGAGUACCGGAGAGGUGGACGGAACUGCACGAGUAAAAGGUGAAAUUCGUAGAUAUGUGCACGAUUGCCGAUGUUAAAGAUAGUUCACUGGCGGGUCCUGACGCUGAAGUGCGAAGCCAGGUCAUGAACUGUAUUAGACAUCCUGUCUUUUAAGGGUACUUCUACCUUUGUUUACCCCUUUCCCCCCCCCGCGGGGGUUGUGUUUCUUUUUAUAA